UAUCUUAAAAAACAUGGCCGCCAUUGGCCAAACAACUUUAAGCACCUAUUUGACAAGGUUAAUGGAAGUCGAUCGGAACGAAACUCGGUGGGCAUGUUCGACUCAUUGCCCUAAAGGUCUGUAAGUAUUUUGAAAGAAAUUGCCCACAACAUUGUCACCUCCCACAUAACACAACAAAGCGAUUUGAUUACAGCGCCACCUAUUUUCCAAAAAUGAUAAUGCAUCAUUUUACUGGAGUUUUACUGGCUGUUUCAAUUACACUCUUCCAAUAAUUGCUUUUCUUACUCGUUGCAUUUGGUCUGAUGCUCCAUGCCAUGCUUAGCUCCUCGCUGUGGAACUUUUAUUAACGAUUUUCAGCCAUUUCAAUUACAAUCAUGCAAUUAUUAAUUUCAUUAUUCAUUGUUGCAUUUGGUCUGCUUAGCUCCUGAUGUUGCCGCUGGAAUGCUUGGCCCCGUGAUUGCUGCUUGCAGCUAUAUUUAGGGGCCAAGCACCGAAGGUGCGAAGGCACCUAUUGUGUUUGUUGGCGUUAUUAUUAUUCUUCUUCUUCCGCCGCAAGUCUAUGGCAGCCCAUAGAACCGAUUGCGGGAAAGUUGUAUAAUUUGGCACACUGAUAGAGGACAGUCCCAACAUUAACUAUAGCAAAUUUGAAGUCUCUAUCUCCUACUCUCUAGCGCCACCACUUGUCCAAACUUUCAAUGUUUGUAUGCUAAUAACUUUUGAACCGUAAGCCAGAAAAUGGAAAUUCUUUUUUCCUCUGAAUCCUUGGCUCAUGCCAAGUCGAAUGAACCCCAAAAUUCAAAAAUCGCAAGGUUUAGUUUUUUCGCUAUUUUCAAUUAUUCGAAAAACCUACUUUUUCGAACUCGUCCUAGACGGUUAGUCCGAUUGCCACGAAAAUUGGCUCAGAUCAUCUUCAGACCAUGCUGGCAAAAAGUUAUGGAAUUCAAGUUGAUUCGUCCAACUGUUGUCGAAUGACACGUAAACAAAUUUGACGAAAAGCACGCAAACAUGCACGUGAGGCUAUAUCCUGGCAACGGUUUGUCAUAUUGAGACCAAACUUGGCGUGUGUUAUAACAAGCAUGAACUGAGACUACCUGCAGUGUUUCGACACAGCGCCACCUAGUGGUCAGGAGAUAUGAAAAAUGCAUAUUUUGGCUUAUAACUACUGAAUGGUUUGGCCAAAAAUCACACAACUGGUCUCUUUAGAUUCAGUGAGUCAUGUCGAGUCAAAUGAUAUCCAAUUUUCCUGUGUCGGCCAUUUUAGGCGUCGGCCAUUUUGAAUUAUGAUUUAAAAUGCUGUAUUUUUUGAACGCAGCAUCGUAUCGUUUCGCAAAUAAUUACAAAAAUAUUCGGCUCCAUGCCCUGAAGGUACUCAAAAAGUUUGGUGGCAGUGCCACCUUGUGGCCAAUAGUUAUAAUGAAAUAUCACAUAAAUGCUAAUAACUUUUGAAUAAUUUAGACUAUUAAAAUUAAAAUGGUCUCGCUAUAUUCUGUGGGUCAUGCCGAGAGCAUUGAUACCAAUUAUGUGAAAAUUGGCCAUACUUCCUGUCCGCCAUUUUGCUUAAUGUUGAAAACCUACUUUUUCGAACUCCUCCUAGACCGUUAGUCCAAUUUUCACCAAAUUUGACGUGAAUCAUCUUCAGACCAUGCUGGCAAAAAGUUAUGGAUUUCGUGUCGAUAUACGAAACAGUUCUCAUUUAGCGCAUCAACGAAUUUGCUGGAAGGGUGCCAAAAUGCAUUUGAGGCUGUAUCUCUGCAACGCUUUGACAUAUUUGCACCAAAUUUUGUAUGUGUCAUCGCCACCUCACACUGACCAUGCCACAGAAAUUUGGUGACAGCGCCACCUAUUGGUCAAGAGUAAUAAACCAUUCAUUAACCAUGAAUAAUUACACUUGUAAAAAUGCUAAUAACUUUUUAUUGCAUUAGCCCAUUCAAAUGGAACUGGGCUCAAAAUAUUCCCUGGUUUAUGCCGAUAACAUAGAUACCAAAUAUACCAUAGUAAGCUGAACUUCCGGUCCGCCAUUUUGAUUUAUGUUGAAAACCUACUUUGUCGAACUCCUCAUCAACCGUAGGUCCGAUUUUCACCAAAUUCGAAUCAAAUGAUCUUCAGACUAUGCUGACUCAAAGUUAUGGCUUUUGAGUCGAUAGACAAAACCGUUUUCGCAUACCACAUCGACGAAUUUGAGGCACAAUGAGAAAAUGACACUUGAGGCUGUAUCCCUGGAAUGCUUUGGCAUAUUGACACCAAACUUUGUGUGUGUCAUUGAAAAGUCACACAGAGUACACCAAAUUGAUUUUAUAACAGUGCCACCUAUUGGUCAAGCUUGAUAAGCCAAGUAAUCAUGCUACUAGAGGUGGUAUUAUGAUUUUUUUUUGCCAUUUCAAUUACAAUAAUUCCAAAAUUGCUGUUAUUGCUCAUUAAUGAAUUUGGUGUGAUGCUUCAUGCGAUGCUUAGCUCCUACAUUUGCCGUUGGAGUGCUUGGCCCCGUAAUUGCUGCUUGCAGCUAUAUUUAUUAUUAGGGGCCAAGCACCGAAGGUGCGUAGGCACCUAUUGUAAUCGUUGGCGUUAUUAGGGGCCAAGCACCGAAGGUGCGUAGGCACCUAUUGUUUUCGUUGGCGUUAUUAGGGGCCAAGCACCGAAGGUGCGUAGGCACCUAUUGUUUUCGUUGGCG
This is a long non-coding RNA of Carassius gibelio (silver crucian carp), 2668 nucleotides long. RefSeq lists it as uncharacterized. The record is from RefSeq and is a predicted model, not a curated record. The transcript is spliced from 4 exons. NCBI's taxonomy places the organism in Eukaryota, Metazoa, Chordata, Actinopteri, Cypriniformes, Cyprinidae.